RNAcentral lists this long non-coding RNA (15384 nucleotides) under Physcomitrium patens. Its description in RNAcentral is "long non-coding RNA (PPAT_LNC000175)". The record is from RNAcentral. Lineage: Eukaryota; Viridiplantae; Streptophyta; Bryopsida; Funariales; Funariaceae.
UUGUGUUUUGUCGUCCUAGUUGACUUAAGAGGCUUUUAAUCAACUAAAGAGGAGCACUUGAGGUUUUUGAGAAUAAUAUAAACACCUGUAUAUAUAUAUAUAUAUAUAUAUAUAAUGUAAAUAUUUAUACGAAAUUUCAAUAAAAAUAACAAUAGAAAACAAUUUGUUUUUUCCUUUGAGACUUAAAAGUGAUCCAUAAUCACCUGCUAGAUCAAUACUUUGUUUACUAUUAUUCAAAUAUUUUUCAUGAAUAUCGUAGAAUAUCAUGAUAGAAUAAAAGCAUUUGUAAAUUAAAGGAUAUUCCAAUAUAAAUGAUAUAUUUUGAUGAAAAAAUCCAUUUUUAGAAAAGAAACCUUAGUGAUGUAGUCUUUUGAGAUUUCAGAAGUUAAACUGAUGUCAACAGAUUAAAAUAGAAUAAUAAUUCACCUUCGUGGCUUACAAGUAGUAGUUAUUAGUUUGUUUUUUGUUUUGUUUUUGUUUUGUUUUUUUUUUUUUUUUUUUGGUCUUUUUGUUUUUUUACUGUUUAUGAAAAACCAUUGAAGCAUUUUUAACAUUCAUGAAAAUUAUUUUAAAGUUCAAAUCCAACAACACCUCAUUAUGUGGCAUCACAGCUGUAUCCUGAACUGAUUAGCUCUGAAGGGCCAAAAAACCAGAUAAUUACAUUGGACCUGGAUCUUAGAUCCCCAUGUACUUUGUGCCACGAGUAAUUGUCUCAGUGCUGCUCUCAUUCCACGAGUUCGCUGCCAUAAUAGAAAUACUUAAACGAGGAAUAGUUCCAUUCUUCCAGUUGGGUCAUGCUGGAAUAAAAGAGAACUUCCCUCAUAACUAUGUUAAGCUCACCGUUAAGGAUUAAAAAUGGAUGGAAAGUAGAAAGUGAAACUGUGGGAUAACGGUAAAGCAUUGCAUCUCAAAAACGUAGUUGUUCUGUACAUCUGUAGCUCUCAGAAAAGAUCUGACACCCGUGAGUACAAAACAAAGGGUGAAUGAAUCAUGACAUCCAAAGAAAAUCGGACUUGCGUAAAUAGGAAGAGAAGAGUGCCAGGUCGAGAAAGAAAUGGACCUGAGAAGUCUCAUUCAAGUUCUGCUUUGCUGGAAUGUAAGACUGAUUGGAUUUUUCGGUUGCGAACAGACAUGCUGUAACAAGCAAGAAAUAACAAAUUAUCUUUCAAAGCUGGACAAAAGGCCUUACAUGGAGUCACCAAUUGAUCUGAAAACUUGUUUCCAAAAGCUUUGUGGAAUCGGCACAGCAGCCUUAACAACCAAACACAGAUAACGAGCACUCACUAUGCAAGUACCGGUAGACUGUUUGAAGUAGCUGUCACUGAAUAUCAGAGGCGAUCAGCAUGUAUGUCAGAACUGUGAAAGACAAACGGAGCACAAGUAGUUUACAUAGGAAGGACACAUAAUACAUUAACAUUAUUUAAGUUCCCUGUCGCCUUUUGUAUCACACCAUUCACACGAGUUAUCCCAAUUUGGCAAGAUCUAUAUGUACAUCAAUAGGAGGUCCAAUACUUAAGACCAAAUCUUAUCAAGAAUUUGCCUCCACAAAAUCUUACUCCAGGUACUCGUUUAGAGUCGCCGCAGCUUCUGUUUGAAUUCUGCCCGAAGUCUUGCAAGUUCGUCCCGCCAUCGAAUCGCAUCACCGUAGCGCUCCUGCUUAGCGGCAACGAGCAUGCACAUCACCAUAGCCAUCUCGUCUUGGAAAACAUCGGGUUCAUACGAAUUAAAAGAUUCUGCCAAAAUAGAACUUCUUUUCCUCGGGAUGUUGAGCUCCACCCUCCUUGUGAGUUCAACCUCCGUCACAGGACGCACGGCAUCCGCCCUGAUGAUGCUGCUAUUCACAUAAAUUGGAACCUUGCAACGAACCGCAUAGUUGAUCGCAUCCGAUGGCCUUGCAUCCACACUCACAAGCUCUUCCUCACCAGGCUUGCCCAAGUAAAUUCUGGCGUAGUAAGUAUCCACAACUCGGUCGGUAAUCCUCACCAUCCUGGGCUCAUAAUGCAAACUCUCCACCAUAUCACGCAUGAGGACAUAGUAAUUGGGACGACUGGCAUGCUCGUCGUCGUGCAAGGCCCUCAUGAGCAUGCUCACUGCGGCUUCGCCCACAACAAUCGGCAGCAUCAAGUUCGACCCAUCUGUGACCUUCAAAAAGAUCGUCGGAGUACUGGAUUUGUAAAGCAAACGCCCCUUGGCAGGGUUGAUAUGAUCAACUUCCAUCUCCAUUCCAUUUCCCAGUGUCAUAAGCAGCUUGCCAUGGAAUGGCACCAUGCUCACAGCAUCCAUCACUUGCGCUUCUAGAUACUCACUCGUACUGUUACCUCCGCCGUUGUCCCCUCCUUCGACAUGGCUAUUCCCACCGCUCGAGCUCUCGUACGCCGCAUUCACUGCACUCCUCUUCUUCACCCUCCUCGCCUCACCGAUACCACCCCACACAGCCCCCUCGUACCUCAACCGACGUGAAACCCCACGAAAGGCAACCCUCGUCCCGCAACGCUGCACCGAAUUGCAUUCAACCACCUCAGAUCGAACUGCACCCGCACCGCCGACCUUCACUCCAACCACAUGAUGCACAGCUUGUAAAGUCUCCAUGUACGAUAAAAACAAGCUCCAACUCUCUCUCUCUCUCUCUCUCUCUCGUUCGUUCCCGCAACACGAAAGGCAAAACUUCUCCCGAUUGAUUAAAUCCUUCCCUCACUCCGAUUCCUUCCUUCACUCCACUUCAUUCCACCACACCAACCAACAAUGACCCGCACCCUGAAACAAAAACCAUUAGAAAUACCAAUUGUACAAAUAGUUAAGAAGGUGCGGAAUGGAAUUGGCUGCAGCGUUCACGCGAUCGGCUAUGAAGGAGGAGCUGUGGAGAUUCCCGCUGCGAUCAAGGACCCCCUUUCCUUCAUGGCAAGUACACAUGCACGCGGGCACUCACUCCACGCCCAUCACCACGCCCCCACUAUGGCGAUGAACGUGUUCGUUCGUUCGCCAUCGUGGAAUACAUCUUCUCGUUAUUAGAUUAGACUAAACUAGUCUAUGGCACCAUCUUCUCUGUCGUUGUGUUUUUCCAUGGCCGAGUAGGUUUCUACUCGUUAAUUUUUGUUUCAGCAUCGUGUUGUUCGCGACUAUCUGAGCCGAAUUCGUUACCUCUGCCGCGAGAGUAUAACUGUAAUUCUUACCGUCCACGACGAUGGCCAGGCUAUAGCCAAUUUUUAGAUGCCUCGGACGGUUUGUUUCACAUCGAUAUUACUGGAGAAUGGUCUAUUCUGUUAGUGUGACGAAGGGGAUUUGUAACUUUGUGUGCACCAGGGAUGGUGUUGUAAGAUGAGUCGAGGGGAGGGGAGGAUGUGAAAGUUCAUCGCGGUUGUGAUCGACGGCAGAGUGUGACGAGGAUCAGUGAUCGAUUUGGAUGUGCUUCCGAUUUUUUGGUUAGCAUCGUGAGAUGAUGGAAAGAAUUUGUGAACGUUGCAUCAGCUCAUCAACCUAUCCAGAACAGUGAUUCGAUGCAUCUCCACUUGGCACGGUGGAGUCAGCGAGGAGAUUAUCUCUGCUGACGAUGCCAAUGCAUGGGCACGGACGCCUAAUAGCGAGCUUUCGAUCACGUCCUUAUCCUCCAGGGUUCUGUGAGUCCGCGGAGAUAGCAUUCUUCGCAAGGAACUUCGUGUGUUUUUGGCGUACCCGUCGGGUAUCAAUAUUUGAAAGCGGUUCUCGAUUAUGGUGGUGUCUCCUUGCUUGAGGAAGGUUUUUGUUUACCUCGCGUCCCAUGAAGCAGCGCUAUUGUGAUCCAUUGCGUCGUCGUCUCUGACAGGAUUCGAAGUGCGUGCUAGCGAUCUGUGGACGUUGGCGGAAGCUUGUUUCGGACGUAGUGUUGAUAGCGGCUGCCCUUGGGGAUGUUGCGACACUGACGAGGCUGUCUAAGGCAGCCUGUUCUCGUGUCGGUGACGUUUCAUAGUGUGCGGCGUUUUGGGAAGAGGUCGAAGAACUGGCAACGGUGUAGACGUGGCCUUUCCCAUCUGACGCGUAGAAAUUCCUGACUCGCGUUCCAGCAAGGGGAGUUCGACGACCUGGAAUCAUCAGAAGCAUUUGACACGGUGAGCAUAAUUUGCCAUUGCAAGUCUAUUUCAGCAUAAUGAAUUGUUUUUAGAGCUCAUUUUUUUCUGCCUGGUAUUUUCUUUUUCAAUUUCUGUAAGGUGAUAUGAAGGCAUUGUAGGGUUUUUUCUGUUCUGGUUUGAACUCAUGAAUUUGUUCUUAAAAGUCUUACACAUAUUUUUUUACAAUCAAAUUGAUCAACUAGACAUGCAAUCCCUUGACGAGGAUUUGAUUUGUUGAUAUCAAAGUUGAUGGAAUGACCAAAUCAUUAAAACAUAAUUUUUUUAUUAUUAUUUCAAAUUUCAUGUUCAUUUUCAUAAUUAGUUUUUAGGUUUCUUUUCUAGUUGCAUCACAAACUUCUAUAAUGUGUAUACAAAAGAAAUUCAAUUUUAGGCAUUUAAAAGACAAAGUUAAGUCUUUAAGGUCAAAGAAAAAUUGACUUUAUUGUGAAUGUUGCAAAAUUAUAUGUUGAAAAAUUAACAAAUCUACUAAUUUUAUAUUUAAAAUUGAAAUUAAAGUAAUUUGAUGCAACUUAAGUGUAAAAUUCAUAGAUAUGGUUGUAGCAACAACUACUUGAGAUUAUAAUAUAUUAUUUAUAAAACUAAAUAAAUAAUAAGUAUUUUUUUUAUUUUAUAGUUUUGUUGUUGUAAGGCAUAAAAAUAAAAAUGGUUUGUAAAUAAUUUCUAACUAAUAAUUAACCUUUAAAAUUAUGGUGUAAUUCUUAUCUACAUCAAGUUGUAUAUUCUUAAUAUAUGAUAGACAUCAUAAUUCUUUUUUGAGAAGUUUUAGUCUAGAUAGCUUAACAAUCAUAUUGAAUCAAAUAUAUAUUCUUUUUUUCUUUUCUUUUUUUUUUAUUUUUUCAUCUACUUGUAAAAUCUUUUUUAAUUAGAGUAGAAAUACAAUAAAUUUGUCCUCAAUUGCUUGUAAAAAAAUUAAAGCAAACAUCCAAAGAAUCUUCAUCAUUAACUUCGUUUGUCUUCAAGUAUUACAUAUCUAUCUUCAUUACAUCAAAAGUUAAAACUUAGCCAAUAACAUUGUGAAAGAAAAGAUCAUUCACAAUAUAAGGAAUUUGGAACUUGUCAGAUUCUAUCUUUGUUACUAUUUCUUUUGCCUAAUUUUAUAAAGUUUGCUCAAGUUGUUGAUAUACCACAUGCAAAUUACCAAUCAAAAAUUGUAAUUAUUAUUUGAUGGGUGUAUGUGCCUUCUCUAUCCUUAAAAUUAUUAUAUUGCCUAAAUGUACAAUGCAGUGUUGUAUUUUGUGAAGUCUUGCUUAAGAAUGCAUUGGAUAUUUAGUUGAGGAAGGUAGAAUGAAAAUUACAACAAAAAGAUACUAACAAUUCUAAUAAAAAAUCAUAAAUAAACUCCAAUUAAACCUUAAUAAUGCUAAUCAAGCUUUAAACAAAUCCAAAAGAAAUUUUUAAAAAAUAUCAAAGAAAUCUUAAAUAAAUCUUAAAUAAAUCUUAACAAAAUCCUACUUUAAUCUUAAUUAAAACCUUAAUGGUCUUUAACCAAAUCCUAAGUUGCACCCUAAUCCUAAAUCAAAUCCUAGAUAAACUUUAAAUCUUAAAUCAAACCUUAGAUAAAUCCUAAAUCCUAAAUCAAAUCCUAGACACACACUAAAUCCUAAAUCAAAUCAUAAAUAAAUCCUAAACUCUAAAUUAAACCUUAGACAAAUCCUAUGAGAGAUUAGAACGUCAAUAUCUAUUGAUUAAAUUGCUGAUCUUGCUUAAAACUUUACACACCUCUCAACCUCUAAGUUAAAUGCUAGUACAACAAAUUUGAAGAUAAUUUAUUUUAUGAAAUUGAAGAAAAAUCCUAAAGUCCAUUCAAGUGUUGGCCAGACUCUUAUUCCAAUCUAAAUAUUGAACUUCUAGUACCAAUAUCUCUCAUUUGAACUAUUCAUUUUCUUCCAAAUUUCAAUUAAACUAUGAGAAAUCAGGUAUAGUCUCCAUAUAAAAAAAAAUUAUUUCAAUUCAAUCAAUAGAUUGCUAAAGAUCUUAAAAAUAUUCACUAACACUCAAAUUCUAAUUUUUGAAACCUUAACCCACAAAAACUUUUUCACUUUGAUCUAAUUAUUUGAUUGACCUUAAAUUCACAACACACAUCAAAUACAAUUAUAUUCACCAACUUAUAAAAUUAUACCUAUAGAUCUACUACAAAACUUUCAAAUUUGUCCAAAAAGUCAAUCUUAUUUUAUUUCACAAAAAUCCAAGUCAUGCAAAAUAACCUUGACUUUAUAAAGCUCUUACAAAGUCAUUACAAAUCCAAAUCACUAAAAACUAAUAGUCAUAGAAAUCCUAUUAAGUUUCUCUCAAAUUCCACUCUCUAAUUUGCCAAAGAACCCUAGAGUCAUUGUAGGUGUAUGGUUUUGUGCCUCAAUAUCUGAUUUUGACCCAAGUUGACAACUGGUCCUCUCCGGAUAUCAAUUCUUGACUUUUUGAGGUAAUUUUUGCUAUAAUCUAUUCUAAACUUCCUCUUACACAUGCUUAUGUCAUUUUAUUUUUCAAUCUACUUUAUUUUGCUUUAUUUAUUGUCGUAUAAAGUAAAUAGAAGCCUAUUUUGUAAAAAGGUAAUAAUAAUAUCUUUUAAUUUUACUAUCUUUUUGACUAUUAUGUAUUUUUUAAGAUAUUUUUUAUAAUAUUUUAAAUUAAGAUCUUCUAUAAUAUAAUUUUUUUUCUCUCUUUCAUUCAUUAGCCAUAUUAUAUCAUGAUAGUAGUCUAUUCAAAUAUAUAUAAAGUGCUGUUUGAACCAAAUCCAAUUUUGUUCUUGAUAAGAAAGUAUAUAAUAUCCUACAAAUUAUAUUUGAAGUUGUUGCGAGUUAUCUUGGAAUGCUUCUUUAGUCUUUUUCUGCACUAUAUUAGUCUAACAUUUAUAAAAAAAUAUGCUAUCAUUUAUUGUGACAAAAUGACUCUAAUAACUACUCAAUUUGUUUUUUUGAUAUGCCACAUGAAACAAGACCAGUCUAUCUCAAGUAUCCAAGAUCAUUUUAAUCCAUAGCAAUAUAAAACUUCAUUUCAAAGUAAGAUAGUUGAACAAGAACAAAACUAAAAAAAACUAAAUAGAUUAAAAUACAUAAAAUAAAACUGAGUAACAGGAAUUAAAACUAAAUAAAAUAAAAUAAAAAGAUACAAAAUCCAAUUAUAUUAAGAAAAAAGGUCUAAAGUUAUACGUGACCACAUGCCUCAAAAGGCCUUAGCUGGUUCUAUUUAUAUUUUAUUCUAUCACCUUGGACUUUCUAAAAUAUUCUUAAAUGAUAGAUCAUACUUAGAUAAUCACCUUAAAUUCUUUCUAAAAGGUUCUAUAGUGGGUCCUACCUAGAUAAUUAUUUUAAAUUCUUUCUAAAAUAUUCUAUGGUGGAUCCUAUCAAGUCCACUUACCUAAUCCCAAUUCUAAAAACUUCCAUAACUUCUCAAACAUGAUUUUAACUGUCUAUUCCUAUGUAUAAAUAAUAUAAAUAUCUUAUCUAUAACUUGUUACAGUUAAUCCGCCUCCACUAAUAUGAAACAUCCUCGAUUUACUCCCAAUAGAUGAAUGAAUGGUACUUGCUUGAAUACUACGUUAUGUAUUUUAUUAUGUUGACAUGAUUCAUAGUAAUGUACAAAAGUUUAAACAUCAUGAUCCAAACCAUGCCCUUAAAAUUUGUUAUAGAAUCUUCUCUUGUCCCAAAUGUCUAGAUAUUGAGAUAUCAUAUCCCUCUUGUAAUAUGUGCAUUCAAUAGAUAGCAUUGUUGGAUAUAUAAAUUUGCUUCUUGAAAUAGAGUAAGCCAUCACUAAUACUAUAAUCUUGAUAUUAUAUAUCAUCUACCUUCAAUCGAUCGCUAAUCAUCUUAAAAUAAGCAUUCCAAUAUGUAGCUUCCUUCUAUUUUGAGUCUUUGGUUAGAUUUGAAAUGAUAUUACUAAUGGUAGCAUCUUUUAUCUUGUCUCUUGAUUUAUCAUUUAAGUUUGGUCUAUACAAUAAGUUAUCUGGCAUAAUAUGUUAUAAUCCUUGCUUGUACUGAAGCUGAAUAUCAAAAAGCCUUCUAAGCUUCCGUGAUUCAUACACCAUGACUUGAAGACUCCUACAAAAAAUUUAUUGAAGGAUCACUUCAAUAGCAAAGUCGGAAGUAUCAAUGUCUAGCAUACAAUGAAGGUUGAGACUACAUGGCUACAAUACCAGAAUAAUAAUGAGUACUUCUUUCAACCUAUCAAAGGUGCUUUGCUACUCCAAUUUUCAUUUAAAUGAGGCAUCCUUCUCCAACAGAUUUAUCAAUGAGGCAACAAUGUGUACAAAUCGCUGAACAAAAUGACAAUAAUAUCCAACAAGGCUUAAAAAUGAGUAGACCUUAGAAGCAUCUUUAGGAAUUGGCCAAUCCUCUAUCGCUUUCACCUUAUCUUACUCCAUAUAUACACCUUUAGAAGACACCACAUGCCUCAAAAAAAUAAAUUUUGACUUUUAAAGUUCAUAUUUUGAUUGCUUGCAAUAGAAGCAAUUAUUUUGUAGCUGACAUAAUACUUCUCAUAGGUGUUGUUCAUGCUCUUUAGGAAUUUUAUUAUAUAUGAGGAUAUCAUCAAUGAAAACAACUAUAUACUUGUCUAAAAGGUUCCAAAACAAUCUGUUCAUGUGACCCAUGAAAGAAAUUGAAACAUUUGUGAAGCCAAAAAGUAAACUAACCAUUUAAAAUGUCUGUAGUAUGUACAAAAUGUCAUCUUUUCUACAUCUUCUCUUCCAAUAGGUAUCUAUUAAUAGCUGAUUCAAAGAUCCAAUUUACUAAAGGUGGUCACACCUUAAAGUUGGUCAAGAAGAUCAUCUAUGCAUAGAAGUAGAUAUGUGUUCUUAAUAGUUUGCUUAUUGAGACCUCAAUAGUCCAUGCAAAGCCAAAGUCUACCAUCCUUCUUGAAUGCAAAGAAUACAUAUGCUCCCUAUGAUGAUAUACUUUCUCAAGAGUUUGUUCAAUAUCUUCUAUAGUUCUUCAAGUUCUUUUGGUACUAGGUGAUAAAUUGAUCAACUAGUUGGUUUGACUUGAAGCAAUAAUUCUAUUUGAAAGGAAGCAUCUUGAUUAAGAGGCACACAACUAGGUAGGUUGAUUGGAAAGAUAUUCUAAUAUUCUUGUAUGAGUUGAUCUGCUCAUUCUACUCCUUUGACUAUCUUUUCUAUCACUAUUGCAAGAUUUAGAACUAUCAUAUAUAUUGAUUUUUUAUGUUGUAUUUUUUUUUUUUUUUUUUUUUUUUUUUUUUUUUCUAUAAAGGUCGUUCCUAUGAGUAUGUCUUUGGUUACAAAUUUUCUUUCUUCUUCACUUGAUGUGGAGGUGCAAAGAUUCACCUUACAUCUACCAUCUUUAAAGGAGAUUAUUCUUGCUACCAAAAUAAACUUGUUUAUUUUUCAUCUUUAGCCAUGACAUAUCAAAGAUAAUAUCAUAUCUUAGCUUUGACAUCUUGAACUUUUUUCUUAAGAUAUAGUUGUCAGUGUACCUCAAGGUUUCUUCUUCAUAUGUCUCACUUAAUAUGUUCUUUCAAUCAUCUACAAGGUAUAUGCUUCUUCUCUUGAUUUUCUUAAUUUUAAUUCUAAAUUGGUUGGCAAUUUCAGUUGAAAUAUAAUUUAUUGUAGAACCAAAAUCUAUAAGCAUUCAACAUGGUUGUCCUCUUAAUAGUCUUGUUAGAUACACCAGUCAACUUUUUUUAUAGUUAUCUCAAGCCAUGCCACUUGUUUUUAAGAGAUAGUAGCUAUUUUCAAUAUUGGCUUUCAGCACCUUUACAAGGGAGCCCUAUUUUUUUGCUCUAUCUCAUUAUUGCCUUGAUGAGUUUCAAGACUUUGAACCAGCCUUAUUUUUCUGGUGCUUGAAUUUUGACGUUUUCAACAACCUCCAAUCUGUUGGCCUGACUCCCAACAAUAGAAACACAAUCCCUUUUGUACCAAUAUUUUUCAUCUUUAUAGUAUCAAUAAUUGUUGUAUGACAUCAAUCUCCAUUAGCAUUGAUUAUUGUAGUAUAGUGUUAGAUAGCGGCAUAAGACUUCGUACUAUAGGUCUUAAUCCAUAAUUUUUGAAAUCUAUAACAUCAAUCCUCUCUAAAAUCCAAAUUGCCUCUUUGAAUGUUUAUGGAUCCUUUAGCUCCAUCUCUUGUUGGAUGCCAAGUUUCAACCCUUGUAGGAAUUGAUCCAUCAUCUCCGCCUAUAAAUAUUGUCAAUUUCGAAACAAAGGAACUUAAAUUAAGAGACAUAAUCUUGUAUCAAUUUAGAUUGUGUAAGAUUUACCAACUGAUUGCAUAUUAUCUUCUCCGCAUUGAUGGAUCAAAAUUGAUUCUUAAACUUGGUCUCAAAUUCCUCCCAAUUACAAAAUCCAAUUUGAACUCCAUAGCUUUGAACUCAAUGUUACUACCAAAUGGUUGCUACAUCUCUCAAAUAGUUAGUUGCAUUCAUAAUUCCUUCAAUGGUAUUUGUCCCAAAUAGUUGGAGGUAUUUCUAUAUAUUGAAGAGCCAUUAACAUAUAUCUUCUUGUCUUAAAGUCCCAGAGUAUGUCGUAAGCUUAUUCCAUUUUAGAGUAGCAAGUAUUGACUUCCUUGUCUUUCAGGCUUUUAUUUGCUCUUGCAAAGUAACUAUCUAGCUUAAGAGGUGUUAUAUUUGAGCCUCCAUCUAGGAUUGCUUUGUUAUAUCUUCCAUGCUAUUAUUUAUCCAUUAGACUCUACUAUUAUAAUGUCUUCUUACUUCCCAAUUGACUUUUGAAGAAUAGCUCAUGGUAGUCUCAACAUAAUAUUUAGUGUGACUACAAAAACUAAUCUUAGACUACAUGAUGACUAUUGAUACACUACCAAAGAACAAUCUAAUAUUUGCUAAGAUACCAAUAAAACAAGACCAGUCUAUCUCAAGUAUCUAAGAUCCUUCUAAUCUACAAUAAUAUAAAACUUCAUCACAAGACAGGACAACUGGACCAAAACAAAACUUAACAAAGCUUAACAAAAUUGAGUAAUCGGAGUUAGAAUAGAACAUAAUAAAACAGAAAGGUAUAAAAUCCAAUUGUAUUAAAAAAAAAGAUCCGAAGCCAUAUUUGACCAAAUGUUCUAAAAGGCCCUUGUUAGUCUUAUUUAUAUUUUAUUCUACCACCUUGGACUUUCUAGAAUGUUCUAAGAUGAUGAACCCCACUUAGAUAACCACCUUAAAUUCUUUUUAGAAGAUUCCAUGGUGGACCAUAUUUAGAUAACAAUCCUAAACUCUUUUUAGAAUGUUCUAUAGUAGAUCCUAUUUGGUCCACUAAUCUAACCCUCAAUUCUACAAACUUCAAUGGUUUUAACUAUCUAUUACUAUGUGUUAAUAAUACAAAUAUCUUAUCUAUAUUCUAUUACAUCACAUAUAUAGGAGCAAUUGAGUAUUUUAAAAUAUAAUAGCAAGAUCAACUUGCAAUCUAUUACAAUCAUUUUAAAUAUAAAAUCCUUAUACAUAAGGUCAUAUUUUGACAUAAAAUCUAAUUAUAAUCUUCUUCUAUUUUUGAUUGUACAAAUACAAAGUAUGAAGAAAAAAUGGUGUUAUGCUAACUAUAUAGAUCAAUGACAUUUGAACUUAUUGGUCUUGUAUAUGUAGCCUAUCAAUAUUAUUAUUUUAUUUUUUUGGUUGCCUCAAUUACUAGUUUUUUAGUAAAAAAAAAAAAAAAAAAAAAAAAAAAAAUGAGUGAUUUAGCUAAUUUCAUCAUAAUCUAUGUGAUGUGCAUAUUUGUCAUUUUGUAAUUUUAUAAACAAGGACUUGAAUUGAUGUUUGUGUAUUCAAUAUCUAUUGUUAGACUUUUUUAUAUUAUAUAUAAUUUAAGUGGUUGUUAUAAUGCUUGGAUUAUAUUCUUAGAGUAUUGUCAAGAUUUGAGUUAAUCAAAUUUUCAAUGCUGACAUUUUUUGGACUUGUUUUAGCUUCUCUACAUCAAAUUAACAAUACAUCAAAUGUCCAAAUAUCACCUACAAAGCAUUGUAGUUGUAAUCUCUAUUUUUAACUUUGAGAUGCCUCAGACUGUUGAUUUUUUUGCUAUAGAUGAAUCAAAAAGGAUAAUCAAUCAAAUGUCAAGUUGUGUUUUGUAACUAUAUGGUUUUCAUCAAAUUAAAGUAGUUUUUGUAGUAUCUACUUUUUCCACAAGUUAUUAAUAAUUAAUAAUUGAUAUUAGAAUAUUUGAUGGUAGCAAAAUAUCUUUGAUCAAAUAUAAUAUACAAACAUAUUCUAGUAAUACUUCACAACUUUAAAAUCAAUUUGCAAUAUAAAGAAGAAGUGGCAUUAUUAUUGUUGGAGAGAACAUACCAUUACCAAAACGCUACUUUGAUGACCUCAAAUAAGAAACUAGAACAAGCACUGCAAAAAACUCACUACAAUAAGUAUCAACAUAUGCUUGGCUCAAGUAAAAUUACUUAAUUAAAUGAAGGAAGAAUAUAGAAUUAAUAUUCAAUGUCAAACUUUUAAAAGUUACAUAAAUACUUACUUACAACUAAGACUAUUGGAUGAAUGAUAAGAAUUUCAAACCUCAAAAAAUAACAAACACUUGAAUUAAAAUGGUUGUUGAGUUGUCUAUAAUAAGACUUCUCAAAAAUAAAUUAUAAUAUUUACUAUGCACUAGCAAUAUGUGGCGUAGGGUGGAUAAGAACUACAUAUUCAACACUAUGAAUUAAAUAUCCAAAAGUGACAUCAUCAAUAAGUUCAAUAUAAUAUGAUAAAUAAUGUAGUCAAUAGAGAAGAUAAUAUAAUUAUACAUAGUUCAUUAUUAAAUUAAACAAACUUGAAUUGACGUGAUACAAUGGGCAACUUUAAUACCUCUAACAACUUCUUAAAUGAAGUGGAAGUAGUAUUAAAAUUAGGCAUAUAAAUUAUAUGAAGUGCAUUUAAUAAAUAUCUAGAAAUAAUAUAAUUUAUUAUAAAAAAUAUUAAAAUUUAAAAUGGUUAUUUUUUAUUUUUUAAUUUUACUAAUUUAAUUUAAUAGAAAUAUAUUAAAAAAUUAUAACUAUAAAAAGUUAUUAAAAAAUAAUUUUUGUAUUUUAAAAUUAUUUCAAUUAAUUAUAAUUACUUAUAAAAAUAUAAUUAUUUUAUUUCUACUUUUAUUUAUAAAUUUUAAAUUAUCAUAAAUUUGAUUUUUUUUUCUUUAUUUUUUAGUAAUUAGAUUUAUUAAAUUAAAAAAUAGACUUAAACGAAGUAUUAAUGAUAUAAAAUUUGAACUAUUCAUAAUGUAUAAUUACUUCUUUUGAAACAAAUUAUCAUGUUCUUUUGUUUUGUAUACAAAUGUAAUUUUAAAAAUAUAUAUCUUAUAUAAUUUUUUUUGUAUUAUUUUUUUUUCUAAGAUGUAUAUUUAAGUUGAUGCAUUAUAAUUAAUCUAAAAAAAUAUAAAAAAAAAUCAAUCUUUUUCAUAAACAUUCAAACAUGAUAUAGAUUAAAAAAAAAAAUAGUUGAUAAAGAUCUCAACCCUACAAAAGUCAUUAUUAAGACAACCUCAUGUUUUGAGGUUAUCAAAUAUCUUCUAUGUUUUCUAAAAGUAUAUUGGUAUAAAAACAAGAAAAAUCUUGUAUUUAUUACUAACUUUUAUAUUAAAGAUGACUAUCUAAAGAAUAGCAUUUAAGUAAAAAAUUCUCCUUCUUGAGUAUGUUCAUGCUCAUGGAAUAGUAAACAAAGACAAAUCUUUUCCAAUACAUAUAAUUUAAAAUUCUCAUAAGCCACAAAUUAUGGUGCAUGUGAAAAAUAAGUGAAUUGUAACAAAGGUCUCAAUUUUGUCUCUAACUACAAUUAGUGAUUCCACUUCUCUUCCUUCAUUUUUAUUACACCAAAUAUAAUUCUCUAUUUGAAAAAAAAUAUAUCCUCAUCCUAAGCCCAAUUUCUGUGGUCUUAAAGGCUAACAAGACAAAUAAAUCCAAAUACAUGUAAAACCUCUACAUUAGAUGAAUGUCCACUACAAUUGCCCAUUAGAAACACAUUCUCAAUCCACAGAUUCAAUGUCAAAGAAAACCUAAAACCAACACCCAAAUUUGCAAAAAUCAUCAUCAUCCCCACACCCACUCCGACCCUGAAACCCUAAUCCAAGAGGAAGAGUCAGCAGUGAGCAGAACACCACCACCACGGAUGCCAUGAGUAAUAAGCGAAGGUGACAACAGUGAAGGCCCUCCAGGUACAGUGAUGGAUGAUGAUGUAUUGUCACUCCACAGGCAAGUGGGGUGAGAGUGACAGUGUUUGUGCCCUGCCUCGUCAUCCCCGCCCUGCUUUCCUGACUCAGCCAUAUCCACACUUCCUCCUCCGCCACCACGGCACACAUAUAUAAACCCCUCCCGCACUCUGCGCUGACCCACCUCACUAAUUGCUCCAAUUCUUCAAGCUCACCACGGAUCCCAUUCCUUCACCUCAUUCUCGCAAUUACCCUUCUCACCAUUUCACUGAAUUCGCUGCCCCCUGGGAGGUCGGAUUUGUGACAUUGGAUCUGCUGAUUCCCCAGGGGAGUGUGUGAGUGUUUGUUUUUGAGUCGUCGUCGUCGUCGUCGAGAUGUGGACUCUUGUGACGCCUCUAUUUGCACAAGGUUGCAAGAGCUUGCAGUGUAGUAAGAACCGGGUGCUGGGGACUGGGGCGAUCGUGCUAGGAUCGCAAGCGCGGACUACUAAGUGCGCGCCUCUGGUGUACGUCCCGCUGAAGGACUUUGAAGUGGUCGCUCUUCAACAAUUGUCGUGAUGGGCUCAUGUCAUUUUUGGUUGUAUAUAAUUAUUUUGCCCGCCUUCGUGGAUGGGCGCAUCAUGGAUAACUGAAUUAGGAGAAGCUGAGUGUUGGGGUUCGGAGAAAAAUUGCACUGAUCAACUACUUGCGUGUCGAAUGGGAAGCGGAGCUGCUAUGGUGGCUUUUAUUUGACCCCCAGCCCCAGGUUUUGGAUCAGGAACUUGUCCUGUGGUGGACGGGUCAAUGUCUUCGCGGCUGUUCUUGGCGGUAGAGGGCAAAACUGCUACAAUCAGGAGAACCUUGUAAAGUGAUGCGCGGUGAUUGAUAAGCUAGCCAUGGCUCAUUGGGCCAAUUGUUGAAAGCGGCACUUGAUAGACUAGGAAUAUAAUGUAAAUGAGGACUGCUCGCAUGCGUAUCAUGCUUGUAAGAUUAAACUCGGUACUCAGUGCAAUGAAGGAGUUGCAUAUUCUCGUACUUGUUAAGAGCCUUAUACCCAUGAUUCGUUUCAGAAACUUCCUUUUCAUAUCUCCACUACCAGCAAUGCGUUGAUACGAAUGAUGCAUUGUACAUUUUAGUUUCUUCGUCCACUUGAGACUAAUAUUUGGGAUAUCACAAGAGAAAACGGCACAGUUGGUACAAUCCAGUUUCAUGUCCUUGUCACAACUCUUUGCAAACAAUCAAC